AACGCUAGCUACAGGCUUAACACAUGCAAGUCGAGGGGUUUGCUUCGGCAAACGACCGGCGCACGGGUGAGUAACGCGUAUCCAACCUGCCUCUCUCAUUGGGAUAGCCCUCCGAAAGGAGGAUUAAUACCGAAUAACAUAAUGUGUUUGCAUGAAUUCAUUAUGAAAGCUCCGGCGGAGAGAGAUGGGGAUGCGUUUCAUUAGGUAGUAGGCGGGGUAACGGCCCACCUAGCCAACGAUGAAUAGGGGUUCUGAGAGGAAGGUCCCCCACACUGGAACUGAGACACGGUCCAGACUCCUACGGGAGGCAGCAGUGAGGAAUAUUGGUCAAUGGGCGCAAGCCUGAACCAGCCAAGUAGCGUGAAGGAUGACUGCCCUAUGGGUUGUAAACUUCUUUUAUAUGGGAACAAAUGUUGGUACGUGUACUAAUUUGCGUGUACCAUAUGAAUAAGCAUCGGCUAACUCCGUGCCAGCAGCCGCGGUAAUACGGAGGAUGCGAGCGUUAUCCGGAUUUAUUGGGUUUAAAGGGAGCGUAGGUGGUUUGUUAAGCCAGCUGUGAAAUACUGUAGCUCAACUACAGCCGUGCAGUUGGAACUGGCAGACUUGAGUGUACAAGAGGAAGGUGGAAUUCGUGGUGUAGCGGUGAAAUGUUUAGAUAUCACGAAGAACUCCGAUUG
Molecule: ribosomal RNA, 677 nt
Filed under: uncultured Bacteroidales bacterium
Lineage: Bacteria; Pseudomonadati; Bacteroidota; Bacteroidia; Bacteroidales
Description: bacterial SSU rRNA
Rfam family: Bacterial small subunit ribosomal RNA
Source: RNAcentral